RNAcentral lists this small nuclear RNA (173 nucleotides) under Gavia stellata (red-throated loon). RNAcentral describes it as "U2 spliceosomal RNA". It matches the Rfam family "U2 spliceosomal RNA". From Rfam's summary of the family: U2 is a small nuclear RNA (snRNA) component of the spliceosome (involved in pre-mRNA splicing). Complementary binding between U2 snRNA (in an area lying towards the 5' end but 3' to hairpin I) and the branchpoint sequence (BPS) of the intron results the bulging out of an unpaired adenosine, on the BPS, which initiates a nucleophilic attack at the intronic 5' splice site, thus starting the first of two transesterification reactions that mediate splicing. The record is from Rfam by way of RNAcentral. Lineage: Eukaryota; Metazoa; Chordata; Aves; Gaviiformes; Gaviidae.
GUCCCUUCUCGGCCUUUUAGCUAAAAUCAAGUGUAGUAUCCGUUCUUGUCAAUUUUAUGCCACGCGUCUUCAAUACGAGGACAUGAUGUUAAAUGAGCGUUGGGAAGUGGGAGGUGGACUUGGAGCUUGCUCUAUGCCUUGACCUAGCAAUGCGGUGCCCCAGGGAAUAGGAU